This is a long non-coding RNA of Cryptotermes secundus, 1851 nucleotides long. RefSeq lists it as uncharacterized. The record is from RefSeq and is a predicted model, not a curated record. The transcript has 2 exons. NCBI's taxonomy places the organism in Eukaryota, Metazoa, Arthropoda, Insecta, Blattodea, Kalotermitidae.
UGUAAGGGUGUUAAGUUUUCAAGUAGUAAAAACUUCAAUAGUCACAUUGGAGGGAGUUGUUUUGUCUUUUUGUGGAAAUUUUAUUGCACUACAGUUCAAGGUAAGAGUUUGUUAUGAAACACUUGGUGUUAAUCAUACACUGUGGACUUGUAUAUUCUUCUUGUAUUAGUCGAUAGUGUGAAGAUGCUGCUAGUUCUGCUGUGUAGAUGGUUAACCAUGACAGUUUAUUUACAAGCAUGCAAGAGGAUGCAAAAACUGAAGAGUGUUAUAAACAUUCCAUGGUAAAGAGCACUUACCCACUUAGGAAUCUACUCAGAUAUAAGAAUUUAUAUAUGAAAGCUAUAAAAUUCUUUGGGUAAUCAUGUCAUUCAUUAACUGAUACAGAAGAACAGUGUUUGUGAUUUGAUGAUUCUCAGGUUCUCAUAUGCAUAAGAUUAUUCUGGUUGCCUUGGAACAUACGAUACAUUUCCUGAUCUGCAUUAUAAAGUGGGAUGCUUGUUAUGUAACUUGAUUAGGACAUUAUUUCUAAUUUUUUUAAUUGUGUUCUUUCAAAUAUUCCAAAUAUACUUGUGGGAGCCACCCAUAUUGAAUCAAGUGCUAGCCGAUCAGCACGGCUAACGAGGACCUCUCCUGCCAGGUGUCAGCACUCAGCGCCAAGUGGGCCCACCCUUGCUUCAGCUCCGGGGAUCCUCACCCCAGCUCCAGGAAACACCGUCCGUGCAGCAGGUUCCUCUCCCGAGAUGAUGCUGCAUUCACCAUCGCCACUACAGAGGUCUGCCUCUUUAUUCAUUGUCAUGGUGGGCGAACCAAUGGGUAUUGGAGCUGCCAUGGCUCGGCCUGAUCAUCCAGCACUUGAUUCGAUGUGGGUGGCUCCCACGUCCUGUUGUUUUUAUGACUGUCAUUAUUUGCUUGUUGCUGCACAGGUUGAAUUAAGUAUUGAUAAUGAUGUGGCAUUGUUUUUUUCAUUCAUAAUGUUUAUGGUGAGUUCUGAUCAUUGCAUGGAAGUUACAUUAAAUAGCAUGGAAUAAGAGGAUUGUUGUGAAUGAUGAAGGGGGAAACAUAUGGAAGAGAUCAGACAUGACCUAUUUUGAAGUACUUUCCCAGCAUUUGUCUUGUAGAACUACAACUACGUGUAUUUUAAAACUAUAUUAUUUGAUGUGUGAAGUAUAGGUGCUGAAUGCCCUACUGAGAUUAGAAGUGGGUACUGUGUUUAUGACAGUCAGUUAACUUAGUACACUAACAUACUUUAUAGCACAGUAUGGAUGCUGUGAAGCCAGAGCUUGAUUCAGAUGGUGAGCUAUAGCGGUACCCCAUUUCUUUCCAAGAGGACUUUGAAUUUGUAGACAUGAAAGAUACCCCUUCUGUAUGGAAGGAAGUGAAGGUAUGUUUCUGCUCCUCACCAGUUGGAACAAAUUCCCAGGAAUGCCGAUGGAGGUGCCACUUGAUGGCUGCUUACAGGGAACACACAUGAAGCAGAUAACUACAGAGAACAUGUAUGAGAGCACAUCAGAGCAGUGGCAUUCACAUCUGCACAGAAAGUAAAUUGCCAUCCGGAAAUGGUUCAUACAGUUUCUGGAUGUGGCCAGAUUUACCAUUUUUUUUUCUCACUACUGUAUUCAAAUGAGGCAAAUAAGCUAGAAUAUGGACAACUUUAUAUUUUUGAUCCUGCUGAAGCAACAAGAUGGCUUGAAAACCAAUCAAACCAGUAGUGUAUGGCUAAAGCAAUGCAAUGAUUGAACGAGAUGCUGUGACAAGUUAACCCAUUUGCUGAAUUGUAUAAACAGAUGCAUCAGAUGGAUUGAAAUGUAUGAAAAAAAAAAAGAAAUGAAUAAAGUCUCUUCCUAGUGUUGA